Pelobates cultripes (western spadefoot toad) is the source of this 426-nucleotide non-coding RNA. The record is from the annotation of a GenBank genome assembly. NCBI's taxonomy places the organism in Eukaryota, Metazoa, Chordata, Amphibia, Anura, Pelobatidae.
CAGGCAGUGGAGGUGCUGGGAGUGCUGGCGGUAGUGAUGGAGAGGUGGUUCCAGCUGGUGACGCGCUGGAUGAGUCAUCCCCCAUUCUGAAGGGUCACAAGUCACGGGAUAGCAGGCAGGUGGUGGGAAGGUGGGCGCCAUGCACCCAGGAAACGGCGGGGUCCCCUAUGGCCAGUGGGCAUCAACAGGCUUCUCCCAGCAGGUCAGUGGAGCGGAAUUUGUCCAUGGGGUCGCCUCGCAGGUCAGCGUCCAGAUCACCUAACAUGGGUAGAGGCGGCCCAAGGAGAGAGCCCAGGGAGGUGGACCUGAGUUGGGCAAUGAGAAGGCAGGCUUCCACACCCCAUAGAUCCCACUCACAGGUGGGCACGGAGCGCCGACCUCAGGAAUAUCACGUCUGGCCCCCCAGGGGUGCUGGGCAGCAAGGGG